AGUGAACGCUGGCGGUAGGCCUAACACAUGCAAGUCGAACGGCAGCACAGUAAGAGCUUGCUCUUACGGGUGGCGAGUGGCGGACGGGUGAGGAAUACAUCGGAAUCUACUUUUUCGUGGGGGAUAACGUAGGGAAACUUACGCUAAUACCGCAUACGACCUACGGGUGAAAGCAGGGGAUCUUCGGACCUUGCGCGAUUGAAUGAGCCGAUGUCGGAUUAGCUAGUUGGCGGGGUAAAGGCCCACCAAGGCGACGAUCCGUAGCUGGUCUGAGAGGAUGAUCAGCCACACUGGAACUGAGACACGGUCCAGACUCCUACGGGAGGCAGCAGUGGGGAAUAUUGGACAAUGGGCGCAAGCCUGAUCCAGCCGUACCGCGUGGGUGAAGAAGGCCUUCGGGUUGUAAAGCCCUUUUGUUGGGAAAGAAAAGCAGCAGGUUAAUACCCCGCUGUUCUGACGGUGCCCAAAGAAUAAGCACCGGCUAACUUCGUG
RNAcentral lists this ribosomal RNA (492 nucleotides) under uncultured bacterium. RNAcentral describes it as "partial 16S ribosomal RNA". It matches the Rfam family "Bacterial small subunit ribosomal RNA", at positions 29 to 507 of the family's 1533-position model. The record is from RNAcentral.